Molecule: unclassified non-coding RNA, 1189 nt
Filed under: Hevea brasiliensis (rubber tree)
Lineage: Eukaryota; Viridiplantae; Streptophyta; Magnoliopsida; Malpighiales; Euphorbiaceae
Source: RNAcentral
AUGCCAGGCUUAUGCUGUGCAUUGCUAUUGCUUAGAUGCAUUGCCACAAACUUUUGAUGAGUCUUUGGUAUGGUUUUGUGAGGAUUGUGAUCCAAAGAUCACAAAAUCAUCCUGUCGGAGACACAGUUCAAGAUAAGGCAGCAAAAAGGGCAAGAAGGAAUGCGCAGGGCUGGUUGGUUUAUCCUAGAAGGCCAAAGAAGGUUCCAAAAGGAGAGCAAAGUUUUCCCGCAAAGCAAGAUUUCAGUUGGCUGAAAUUCCUGGGGAGGAAGAGGCGCAUGAGCCAGAAGGUGCAAUAAAUAACUAUUUAAAAAGCGAUCAGAAUGGAAGAGCUGGGGAAAUAGCAGGAUAGUCUCUGCUAUGAAUUUUGUUAUCUUUCUUCUUUUCUUAAUUGUUGAAUCAUUCCUUAGAGAACUCAUUGUAAUCCUUCUCCAGAUUUCUGGCUCAUUAAUUAAUCACCCUGAAUUGUUCUGCGUAACUCUUUUCUUUCUCUUGUUGUUACUGUUAUCUUCAGUUCGUCCAUUUAUCAGUUCCUUGCUCUCACAUCCUUUAUUGGCGAGCUUAGCCCUUUCCAAGUCAGGGGAAAUGACUUAAAGUUUUGAAAGUGCCAAAGUGAAGAAGAGGAAUCCUGUCAAGAAAUUGAAAAAGAAAUCUAGGACAAAUGUCAAUACUUGCUCAUUGACGUUUUGGAUAUGGAAAAGCCUCCUCUUUUCAACUUCAUAAGGUGCGUAUGUCAGAGAAUAGUGAAAAAGAUGAGGAUUUUGUAGAGACAAAAUGGAAUGAGUGAGUGCAGCUUUGUUGAAGUGGUUGAAUCUCUUGAAAGAAAAAAUUCUCAAAUGGAUCUCGAUGACUUCCAACUGCUUGAGAUGUAUUGCUGGGAGGAACUUGGAAGUUAAUUGUUCUGAAGAUGGGAAGAUAGAUCAGAAACUUGGAAGAUGGAAUGGUCUGGAAGAAGGCUGCUUCAAUGAAGAGGCUGAAAGACUGGAUGUUUUAAAUAAGAGCGCUCCAGUGAAGAGGGUGAAACUCCUAAAACAGAGAACAGUCAGCUGGCUAGGUGCCAAAUGAUGGCCUUUUUUUAUUGUUCUUCAUUUAUUAUUUUUUGCCCAGACAGUGAAAGGUGGUGAUACUGAUUCCAACAAAUAUGCGGUUGAUAUUUCUUCCUAUGAAUGAUAACCAACGGAUCGAUGGUGAG